CUUUUUUUUUUUUUUUUUUCUUUUUUUUUUGUGAGCUGUUACUUUUGCUGCUCAAAGUUUUUAAGAAAAUGUUACAUUGAUUCUGGCACUGAAAGUAAUGUCCUGUUAGUUUUCUUGUAAACUCUCGAUAUUUUUGUUUUCACAAUGAAGAGCUCGUGGAUCAAAGGUGACAAUGCAAAUAAAGCUGAUAUUGUUCAAUUUUAAAGUGUAUUACAACGCUGGUCAUAGAUGUACAAGUAUUACACAGAAUUUUAACUCUUUAUUAAUGAACAAACCUUCUGUUUACUUGUACUCAGAGGCGUAGAGAGCAAAACGAGCGCCCGAGGUAAAGGUACUUUACUGGCGUCGCCCCCCCCCCCC
This is a non-coding RNA of Biomphalaria pfeifferi, 360 nucleotides long. The record is from the annotation of a GenBank genome assembly. NCBI's taxonomy places the organism in Eukaryota, Metazoa, Mollusca, Gastropoda, Planorbidae.